UGCCCUUAUGACCUGGGCUACACACGUGCUACAAUGGACGGUACAAAGAGCUGCAAGACCGCGAGGUGGAGCUAAUCUCAUAAAACCGUUCUCAGUUCGGAUUGUAGGCUGCAACUCGCCUACAUGAAGCUGGAAUCGCUAGUAAUCGCGGAUCAGCAUGCCGCGGUGAAUACGUUCCCGGGCCUUGUACACACCGCCCCGUCACACCACGAGAGUUUGUAACACCCGAAGUCGGUGGGGUAACCUUUUUGGAGCCAGCCGCCUAAGGUGGGACAGAUGAUUGGGGUGAAGUCGUAACAAGGUAGCCGUAUCGGAAGGUGCGGUUGGAUCACCUCC
This 336-nucleotide ribosomal RNA is filed under the name Bacillus thuringiensis. Its description in RNAcentral is "bacterial SSU rRNA". It matches the Rfam family "Bacterial small subunit ribosomal RNA", at positions 1197 to 1530 of the family's 1533-position model. The record is from RNAcentral. Lineage: Bacteria; Bacillati; Bacillota; Bacilli; Caryophanales; Bacillaceae.